Molecule: ribosomal RNA, 204 nt
Filed under: uncultured bacterium
Lineage: Bacteria
Description: partial 16S ribosomal RNA
Rfam family: Bacterial small subunit ribosomal RNA
Source: RNAcentral
ACGCUCGACACCUACUGGAGGCAGCAGUGGGGAAUAUUGCACAAUGGGGGGAACCCUGAUGCAGCGACGCCGCGUGAGUGAAGAAGUACUUCGGUAUGUAAAGCUCUAUCAGCAGGGAAGAAAAUGACGGUACCUGACUAAGAAGCCCCGGCUAACUACGUGCCAGCACGCCGACGGUAAUCUGAGGCGGGCGUGGACGAAGGC